This 253-nucleotide ribosomal RNA is filed under the name uncultured bacterium. Its description in RNAcentral is "partial 16S ribosomal RNA". It matches the Rfam family "Bacterial small subunit ribosomal RNA", at positions 524 to 776 of the family's 1533-position model. The record is from RNAcentral.
UACGUAGGGUGCGAGCGUUGUCCGGAAUUAUUGGGCGUAAAGAGCUCGUAGGCGGUUUGUCGCGUCGACUGUGAAAACCCGAGGCUUAACCUCGGGCCUGCAGUCGAUACGGGCGGACUAGAGUUCGGUAGGGGAGACUGGAAUUCCUGGUGUAGCGGUGAAAUGCGCAGAUAUCAGGAGGAACACCGGUGGCGAAGGCGGGUCUCUGGGCCGAUACUGACGCUGAGGAGCGAAAGCGUGGGGAGCGAACAGG